This 579-nucleotide ribosomal RNA is filed under the name Dichotomopilus funicola. RNAcentral describes it as "eukaryotic LSU rRNA". The stretch from base 196 to 349 matches the Rfam family "5.8S ribosomal RNA". Lineage: Eukaryota; Fungi; Ascomycota; Sordariomycetes; Sordariales; Chaetomiaceae. The record is from RNAcentral.
UCCGUAGGUGAACCUGCGGAGGGAUCAUUACAGAGUUGCAAAACUCCCAAACCAUCGUGAACGUUACCUACAUCGUUGCUUCGGCGGGUGGCGGGCUUCGGCCCUGCCCUCGGCCCCUCUCGGGGGCCCGCCGGAGGUACACCAAACUCUUGAAUUUACAUGGCCUCUCUGAGUCUUCUGUACUGAAUAAGUCAAAACUUUCAACAACGGAUCUCUUGGUUCUGGCAUCGAUGAAGAACGCAGCGAAAUGCGAUAAGUAAUGUGAAUUGCAGAAUUCAGUGAAUCAUCGAAUCUUUGAACGCACAUUGCGCCCGCCAGUAUUCUGGCGGGCAUGCCUGUCCGAGCGUCAUUUCAACCAUCAAGCCCCCGGCUUGUGUUGGGGACCUGCGGCACACCCGCAGGCCCUGAAAACCAGUGGCGGGCUCGCUGUCCACACCGAGCGUAGUAGCAUAUCUUUGUCUCGCUCAGGGCGUGCGGCGGGUUCCGGCCGUGAAACCCACCUUCUCGAAGGUACCCAAAGGUUGACCUCGGAUCAGGUAGGAAGACCCGCUGAACUUAAGCAUAUCAAUAAGCGGAGGA